RNAcentral lists this ribosomal RNA (466 nucleotides) under uncultured bacterium. Its description in RNAcentral is "partial 16S ribosomal RNA". It matches the Rfam family "Bacterial small subunit ribosomal RNA", at positions 28 to 507 of the family's 1533-position model. The record is from RNAcentral.
GACGAACGCUGGCGGCGCGCCUAACACAUGCAAGUCGAACGAGCGAGAGAGAGCUUGCUUUCUCGAGCGAGUGGCGAACGGGUGAGUAACGCGUGAGGAACCUGCCUCAAAGAGGGGGACAACAGUUGGAAACGACUGCUAAUACCGCAUAAGCCCACGGCUCGGCAUCGAGCAGGGGGAAAAGGAGCAAUCCGCUUUGAGAUGGCCUCGCGUCCGAUUAGCUAGUUGGUGGGGUAACGGCCCACCAAGGCGACGAUCGGUAGCCGGACUGAGAGGUUGAACGGCCACAUUGGGACUGAGACACGGCCCAGACUCCUACGGGAGGCAGCAGUGGGGAAUAUUGCACAAUGGAGGAAACCCUGAUGCAGCGACGCCGCGUGGAGGAAGAAGGUCUUCGGAUUGUAAACUCCUGUUGUUGGGGAAGAUAAUGACGGUACCCAACAAGGAAGUGACGGCUAACUACGUG